Molecule: non-coding RNA, 362 nt
Organism: Xyrichtys novacula (pearly razorfish)
Lineage: Eukaryota; Metazoa; Chordata; Actinopteri; Labriformes; Labridae
Source: the annotation of a GenBank genome assembly
UCAGUCCGUUUCUAUGACACUCAAGAAAACCGAAUUAUCGCCUUAUUCCGAUAAAGACCGGACAACUGAAGGUCAUGUAAACACUUUAGUCCGACUAUAAUCUGAGUUUAAGAACUCUGAUUAAAACACCCAGAUAAUGAGAUUGGAAUUAGAUUUUCUCUACCAUGUAACCAGCGUAGUCGGAGUAUGAGGCCACGCCCCCGUAACCCCAUAACAAACCCCCAGAGUAGAGGAGUAGCGUUGGUCUCCUCUUUAGAAAAAGUAGCGCGUCCAUCAUGUCGGACAAAAACAACGCUGUACGAUGCUCCAUCUUCUUGUUUCUCCAGCAGCAGUUGUAGACACUUCUGACGUCUGACACCGAC